This 97-nucleotide microRNA precursor is filed under the name Rosa chinensis. Lineage: Eukaryota; Viridiplantae; Streptophyta; Magnoliopsida; Rosales; Rosaceae. The record is from RNAcentral.
AGAAAUGUGUGAUGUUGGAAUGGCUCAAUCAAAUCAAAUCUCCCAAGAAUUGGGUCCUUUGGUUUGAUUGAGCCGUGCCAAUAUCACAGUUACGUUA